Long non-coding RNA from Myotis davidii, 755 nucleotides. RefSeq lists it as uncharacterized. The record is from RefSeq and is a predicted model, not a curated record. Lineage: Eukaryota; Metazoa; Chordata; Mammalia; Chiroptera; Vespertilionidae. The transcript has 2 exons.
UUUAAGAUAAAAAUUAUUCUGUAUCAUUUGGUAGCAUGAGAGGAAGUUACUUCCCUCCCUUAAGAGAACUAGUUUUUUUCUCAAUGUUAAACUUGAUGCUGCAUUUUCUUUGUUUCAGGUGCUGGAAGAAAAGAUAGUCCAGGAAUAUAAAAAGUUCAGGAAGCGAUACCCAGGUUACAAGGAAGAAAAGUGUCGCUGUGAGUACCUGCAUCAGAAAUUGUCCCACAUUAAAGGUCUCAUCCUGGAGUUUGAGGAAAAGAACAGGGGCAGCUGAACUAACUGGUCAAGGGCUAUCGACCCUCUCUGCCCGGUGUGAUGCAAAGGAACAAACCGCUGUAAAUGAAGUAGAGUGCAACUGUCCGCGCUUGUUAUUGCUGAACCCAUGGUGGCAAGUAGGAGAGCUGCUCUAGGUUAAGGCUGGAUUUUCAUUGUUGCCAUAUAUUAAUUUUUAGGGUGUGGGCGCAGUGCCAACUCUCUAUAGCUGUGCCCAGGAGACUAAGAAAAGCAGCCAAGGCUUGGCUUCUCCACCUUUAGUUCAGCAAGUCAUUUUCAAAUCCUAAGAAAUGACAUCCUUUCCAGGACAAGAUACGUCAAGGACAUUAGAAUUCAGCCUGGUAGCCUCGCUAACAAAACAAUAACUUUUAGGAAGUUUUGAUACACCUGGAUGUAUAGGGGAAUGGCUUGGGGUCUUACCAAUGUACUGAAAGUGAAUUCUUUUACAAACAUGGCUAAAAACUUAAAACUGUCUCUGUGUC